UAAGUCCAUGAUGGUGAUGAUAAUGGUUUGAUGACAAUGGGGGUGGUGAUGAUGGCUGUAACUACCAAUUCUGAACACCUCCUAUAUGCCAAGCACUGCUGGAAGCACUCCACAUUUCACCUGCACGGCCACCCUCUGAGCAACUUCAACAAAAUAAUAUUCAGCCUACGCCCGCGCCCCAGAAGCUAGCCCCGAGCCCCGCCCCCGGCAGGCACUUCGAGCACAGGGAAGCAUCUUUGCAGGCGCCCCGCACGCCCUUGUCAUCUGCGUAGCAGGUCGAGGUGGAAGAGCAAGAGGCGAAGGAGAACUCUCUCUGCCUGGGGACCACGGGAGUGGAGUUCCCGGGAGCUGUGUCCGCCAGCGACACGGAAGCGGGGUCGACAAGAGGUGGGGGACGGCCCGAGUCACAGUGAACAGAGAAUCAUCACCCAAGAAGAUAUACAUAUGGACAGAAUAGCAAUCAAAGCCAAGACAUUACCUAAAAGAGAUUCAAAGCUCAUGAGCUCACUGCUCAACCACUUCUGAGACACUGGUUUAGGAGUUAUCCCACUGGCUUCUCUGAGGAUAACAGAAUGUCACCCCCACGUCUCCUUUGAAAAUGCCUGGAUCCCUGAUCUAGAGAACUGGCUUAGAGCCCAGGCAGAAUGGAUUCACAAGAGGAAUUGGCUCCCAGCCAGGCAGCUGUUCAUCAAGGUCCACUUUACAGAAUGAUACUCACUGGAUGCUUGUGGGAAGCUAUGCAUGUAUGCAUUGCGGGGAGACAUUUAAAGCUGAUAAGUGAUUCUUUGGGCUAGACUGUAGAAAAAUUAGCGGAAAACUGUUACAAAACAACACCAUCAUUUUAAUACUAGCCCAAUUUCCUAUCUAUUCACCUAAUAAACCACUGCGCGCUCCCCAUCUCAUAAGUCUGUCUGGAUAUUUUUCAAUAAAUUGAAUGUUGUAAGAGAGUUGCCCUCAUUCAAAGAUUAGAAAGAAACCAAAAAUCUCUAACUAGCAAACCAAACAUUCAUUCCAUGUUAAUUGAGCAAAUAUUUGCACAUAGGCACAGAGCCACUGUCUGAGGCACAGGGAAUGCAGCAUGAAUUAGACUGAGGCAUCCCAGCAUUUCCUUCCAAAAAGGUCACAAUGUCCUAGGUAAAGAGAAGGUGAAUACUGCUCAUGGGGAAGUUAUUUUGUGUAACAGAAUCCCUUCAAGCAAAUUCCAGUCUACAAACUCAAAUAAAUUACUGAAAGCAAGGGAAACAACGCACAUUUAUAGAGACCUAACAAUAGAUGGUAGCUAGAAGGUCAGCUAAUAGUACCCACAAUGAGAAAACAAAAUGGACACCAUGAUAGGAAGACUGAGCAGCGUAGAUGCCAGAAAUUGGCCUUCCCCAGGGAAGGAAAAGCCUCAGUGGGGCCGUCACAGGUCUUCCCAGAAGAGCGAGGAGCCUUCAACAGAAAGAGCCCUGGAGUGCAUUGCUGCAUUCCCCAGAACUGGGGGAGGAGCACUGAUUGAGCACUGGUGUUCACUUGUGAAAAUUA
Callithrix jacchus (white-tufted-ear marmoset) is the source of this 1524-nucleotide long non-coding RNA. RefSeq lists it as uncharacterized. Lineage: Eukaryota; Metazoa; Chordata; Mammalia; Primates; Cebidae. The record is from RefSeq and is a predicted model, not a curated record.